AAUAAGUGCAGUCAUGAGUUUUCGCGUUCAACUUUGAUCGUCCAUCUUAUUUAAAUUUUUUUCAUAAUUAGCAUUUUUUUGUUAUAAGAUGAUAAAACAUGAAUAGUACUUUACUCGUGACUUAUGUUUUUAAUUUUUUUCAAAAAAUUUUCAAAUAAGAUGAAUGGUUAAAGUUGAACGCGGAAAACCAUGGCUGCACUUAUU
Oryza glaberrima (African rice) is the source of this 204-nucleotide non-coding RNA. Lineage: Eukaryota; Viridiplantae; Streptophyta; Magnoliopsida; Poales; Poaceae. The record is from Rfam.